Molecule: long non-coding RNA, 252 nt
Filed under: Lathyrus oleraceus (garden pea)
Lineage: Eukaryota; Viridiplantae; Streptophyta; Magnoliopsida; Fabales; Fabaceae
Description: Pisum sativum (pea) long non-coding RNA (PSAT_LNC000517)
Source: RNAcentral
AGGACAUUAUUUGUACUCUAUGUUUGAUGGUAUGGAACCUCCCAUCAUGAUAGUUUUUUUUACCAAAACCAAUCUACCCAUAAUAUAUGCUAGUUUAGGAUUGCAAUUUUUAUAAUUUCAAUUUCUGUCAUUUUGAUUUCUGAGUAAUGAAUGAAGAAUUUAUGUUGUGUUGGUGUUGUUUUCUUAAUGUUAGUCUUUUGUUAAAUAAUAAUAAUAAUAAAAAUAAAAAUAAAUAAAAAUAGAAAGAAAAAU